This 1597-nucleotide long non-coding RNA is filed under the name Dromaius novaehollandiae (emu). Its description in RNAcentral is "lncRNA (ENSDNVG00000010469.1)". The record is from RNAcentral. Lineage: Eukaryota; Metazoa; Chordata; Aves; Casuariiformes; Dromaiidae.
AAGUUCUGCGCUGCCCCGCGUACCCGCAGUGCGACGGGAGCUCGCCGCUCCGCACCGUGCCCUGCCUUUACCUGCCCCCGGGGCCCGCGCCAGAGGGAACCUCCCUCCUCCCGUGCUUCUGCAGCUUUAGCGGCUUUUUCCUUUUUGGAAGCGGGAGUGGGAAAAAAACACACGCAAAGCCCAAGCAGCCCCCCACCCCCGCACAGAAAUGCCAGCCACCCGGGCGAGACCGAAAUGCGGCGGCUCUCGCCCCGAGCCCAGCCCCGAGCCCGCAGCGGCGGCGGCUGCAGCCGGGCGGCCCGGCGCGGCUCCGCGCAGCCCUCCCCAGGCCCCGAGCAGCCUUUUAAGUUUCCCCUUUGUUUUCAGAAACUCGCACACGUUUCCUGCCCCACGCGAAGACCCAACGAGCUAACCCAAACCUCUCCCAGCCAUACGUGCGCGCUGGGCGUGCUCCCGGGCGCAGCGAGCCACAGACUACCUCUCUCUCUCGUUGAAAAUCUUUGCGGCAACUUAUUUUCCCUAGAAAGCUAUUGCCUACGACUCAUCUCCAACACACAGUGAGCGGCGGGCGCUGCCGGACACACUGCGACCUAAAGGGGGGAAAGCUCUGGCGAAAGGCGGUGUCGCGACCCGGGAUGCACCUUUCGGGCUCCUGGUUCGUGGCUCGCUCCAUUCCUCCGCAGCACAGCGCUGCAGACCGCAGCCGAGUCGCUUUUCUCCCUCCCGGACCGUGCAGCAAAAUAAUCGGCGGAGCCGGGAGCGACCCCGUGUCCAAAGGCUCCCCGGUUUCCCAACCGCUCCGAGACCACAUUCACCUCCAGUAGGAAACGACAGCUGAAAAACGCCGUUAUCUCGGGGAAAGAGGCAUUUCCCAGGGGCUUCCCCCCCCGGUGCGGGAGAGCCUGCAAAGCGAGCCAGCAGAGGCCGUUUGGGGGAGGCUUUCAGGACGAUGGCAAUUAUCAAUAACCGCUCGCUGUCCCGGCUGCCCCUCGGAAAAUUUUUGCUCUUUGAGAUUGUCUAAAUCAGCUGUAAAUCUGGCAAAGCAGUCAAUGAAAUAGCCAUCCCCAAGCAUGCGUUUCAAGUUUCUGUUGCUUAGCCGACGACCUAUAGUAAGCGCCAUCGACUAUUUCGGGGUAAUUAGCUAUAUCAGGCUGACAUUUAAGAAAAUGAGGGAGAUAUUAAGCUCCUAAUUCCCGUCAUUACAAAUAAUUUUCGUGGAGGGAACUUCUAAAAGAUUUUUUUCUCCCUUACGCUUUCCAGUCUAUUUUUUAACCCCUGAGUGAUUUACUAUGUAAGUAAUUUUAGAGGAUACAGUUUACAGCUUGAGUUAUUAGACCGAACACCUCUGGCUGACACCACAACACCUUUUUUUUCUGCCUGCAGCUGUGAGUCACAACCCCAUUUUCAUACCAAACUGCUGCACAUUCCUUUACAAUAUAGACUUCCUUCUUGCAAAGAUCAAACAUGUUUCAGCCAACGUGUUUAUUUUAAGAUACAGGAAAAUUAAAACUAAACACGCACUUUAAAGAAAAACAAAUGCAUCGUUGCCUUCCCUGCUAUCUCUUCCACUAAAAUAAAAUCAAAUCAGGACGGAGCA